RNAcentral lists this small RNA (101 nucleotides) under Arabidopsis thaliana (thale cress). RNAcentral describes it as "ATSL151220". The record is from RNAcentral. Lineage: Eukaryota; Viridiplantae; Streptophyta; Magnoliopsida; Brassicales; Brassicaceae.
UUUUUACAGUAGUGUGCUAUAAGACAAUCGUUAAUUGAAGUAGAGAGAUACUGACUAGUAAGAAUUUGAUGGAACAUGAAUUCUUAAAUAAUAUAUAUAUA